Molecule: ribosomal RNA, 321 nt
Filed under: Cercozoa sp.
Lineage: Eukaryota; Cercozoa
Description: SSU rRNA
Rfam family: Eukaryotic small subunit ribosomal RNA (bases 110-321)
Source: RNAcentral
UAUCCUAGCCCGGCUACUCCUUCGUGGGUUGGUUCGAUGUGCUGGUAUAAUUUACCAUCCUUCUAGAUUGCCGUGAGUACCAUUUACUUGGCCGCUCGCGUGCUUUAAUUCUAGAUCUUUUACUUUGAAAAAAUUAGAGUGUUUAAAGCAGGCUUACGCCUUGAAUACAUUAGCAUGGAAUAAUAACAUAGGACUUCGGUUCUAUUUUGUUGGUUUCUAGGACCUUAGUAAUGAUUGAUAGGGAUAGUUGGGGGUGCUAGUAUUCAGCGGCCAGAGGUGAAAUUCUUGGAUUCGCUGAAGACUAACUACUGCGAAAGCAUU